This 663-nucleotide long non-coding RNA is filed under the name Pogona vitticeps (central bearded dragon). RNAcentral describes it as "lncRNA (ENSPVIG00000013831.1)". Lineage: Eukaryota; Metazoa; Chordata; Lepidosauria; Squamata; Agamidae. The record is from RNAcentral.
UCUCAUCUAUCAUUCUUAAUCCACAGUUACUCAUGGUUUACAGUCAAACAAAUUUAGUAAUGCAAGUUUGUUCUUCAUAGGGUCUUUACUUUUUUUCCAGGAGCAUUUUAAAAUCAUAUUUGGCAAUAUGAUUGUUUCAUAGUUGUUCUGAAAGAGCAAAACAUGGCUUAUCUUCGUAUCAUGAAUGGCUGAAACACCCCAGUAUCCCAUCACCAAGAGAGUUCAGGCCAGGAAAGUUAAAAAAAAUAAGCUGCAACAGAACAAGACACUGAUACAAUUACUAAAUUCGGUGCUGUCCAAUGGAUUGUUUCUCUGUUCUAUAAAGUCUGGUCUCAUCAGAGCCUGUCCAAAUAGAACCUCAGCCCAACCCAGCAAGAGGAAAGAGUAUAAUACGGGCAUUCAAGAACAAAAGACACUGAAAUGGCACUUUUUGAACCAACAUCUUCACCCAGAGCCUCCAGUUGCUGUUGUUUGCAGGAGCCAGAAGCUGGUAGAUGGUUCAUUUUGCCAGAGGUUCAUAGAUGAAUUCAUAAACUAACAUCAUGGGCAAAGAAAGGUAGGUCUGAGUGAACAUACCUUUUGCAUGUUUUUCACAUUAGUUUUCUCCCAUUGUCCCCAUAGUAACUUCAAUGUCUUUCUUAGCCCCAUUCCUUGAUACAUUGU